GAUGAACGCUGGCGGCGUGCCUAAUACAUGCAAGUCGAGCGAACAGACGAGGAGCUUGCUCCUCUGACGUUAGCGGCGGACGGGUGAGUAACACGUGGAUAACCUACCUAAAAGACUGGGAUAACUUCGGGAAACCGGAGCUAAUACCGGAUAAUAUAUUGAACCGCAUGGUUCAAUAGUGAAAGACGGUUUUGCUGUCACUUAUAGAUGGAUCCGCGCCGCAUUAGCUAGUUGGUAAGGUAACGGCUUACCAAGGCAACGAUGCGUAGCCGACCUGAGAGGGUGAUCGGCCCACCUGGAACUGGGACCCGGUCCAGACUCCUACGGGGGGCAGCAGUAGGGAAUUUUCCGAAAUGGGCGAAAGCCUGACGGAGCAACGCCGGGUGAGUGAUGAAGGUUUUCGGAUCGUAAAACUCUUUUAUUAGGGAAAAAAAAAUGUGAAAGUAACUAUGCCCGUCUUGACGGUACCUAAUAAAAAAGCCCCGGCUAACUACGU
This 496-nucleotide ribosomal RNA is filed under the name uncultured bacterium. Its description in RNAcentral is "partial 16S ribosomal RNA". It matches the Rfam family "Bacterial small subunit ribosomal RNA", at positions 28 to 506 of the family's 1533-position model. The record is from RNAcentral.